CGGAGAUCAAUCAUGAAUGUCAUUCGCGCUACCGCC
This 36-nucleotide small RNA is filed under the name Bombyx mori (domestic silkworm). Its description in RNAcentral is "ovarian small RNA-14452". Lineage: Eukaryota; Metazoa; Arthropoda; Insecta; Lepidoptera; Bombycidae. The record is from RNAcentral.